This 27-nucleotide non-coding RNA is filed under the name Cricetulus griseus (Chinese hamster). The record is from RNAcentral. Lineage: Eukaryota; Metazoa; Chordata; Mammalia; Rodentia; Cricetidae.
CAAAGGGACCUGAAGAGAAGAAGGAUU